This is a small nucleolar RNA of Pogona vitticeps (central bearded dragon), 131 nucleotides long. The record is from Ensembl. NCBI's taxonomy places the organism in Eukaryota, Metazoa, Chordata, Lepidosauria, Squamata, Agamidae.
ACUGAGGUCUAUCCCGAUAGGGCCUUGCUGUAGGUUCUUGUCGUUGGAAACGCCUCAUAGAGCAAGCUUGUAGUUUUACUUGGCCCACUGAAUCCUAUGUUAGUUCAGUGGUAUAAAACUGCAGUACAAUA